ACCAACAAGGAUUGCCUCAGUAUCGGCGAGUGAAGCGGCAAAAGCUUAAAUUUGAAAUCUGGCACCAGCCCGAGUUGUAAUUUAUAGAGGAUGUCUUCAGCAAAAGGCUUGGAGUCUAAGUUCCCUGGAACGGGAUAUCAUGGAGGGUGAGAAUCCCGUACAUGGUUCCAAUGUCUCUUGCAUCAUGAAGCUCCUUCAACGAGUCGAGUUGUUUGGGAAUGCAGCUCAAAACAGGAGGUAAAUUCCUUCCAAAGCUAAAUAUUAGCCAGAGACCGAUAGCGAACAAGUAGAGUGAUCGAAAGAUGAAAAGCACUUUGGAAAGAGAGUUAAAAAGUAUGUGAAAUUGUUGAAAGGGAAGCGCUUGCAACCAGACUUUUCACUGUAGGUUAGAUCAUCUAGGCUCUUUGGUCUAGUGUACUCUACCUAUACUGUGUGCCAGCAUCGGUUUGUUAGUCGAGAGAAAAAGGUAGUGCGUUGUCAAUACUUCCGGGUAUUUGGCAUGCAUCUACAGGUACAUCUUGAACCCAGACCGAGGACAGCGCUUUUUGCAUGGAUGCUGGUGUAAUGGUUGUAAGCGGCCCGUCUUGAAACACGGACCAAGGAGUCCAACAUCCAUGCGAGUGUUUGGAUAUCAAGUCCGUACGCGCAAUGAAAGUGAACGCAAGUGGGAACUCAUUUAUGUGUGCACCAUUGACCGAUCUUGAUCUUUUGAAAUGGAUUUGAGUAAGAGCAUGGCUGUUGGGACCCGAAAGAUGGUGAACUAUGCCCGCGUAGGCUGAAGUCAGGGGAAACCCUGAUGGAAGGUCGCAGCGGUUCUGACGUGCAAAUCGAUCGUCAAACGUGGGUAUAGGGGCGAAAGACCAAUCGAACCAUCUAGUAGCUGGUCAC
This 888-nucleotide ribosomal RNA is filed under the name Hesperomyces sp. RNAcentral describes it as "partial large subunit ribosomal RNA". It matches the Rfam family "Eukaryotic large subunit ribosomal RNA", at positions 64 to 958 of the family's 3401-position model. Lineage: Eukaryota; Fungi; Ascomycota; Laboulbeniomycetes; Laboulbeniales; Laboulbeniaceae. The record is from RNAcentral.